GGAUGCGAUCAUACCAGCACUAAAGCACCGGAUCCCAUCAGAACUCCAAAGUUAAGCGUUCUUGGGCGAGAGUAGUACUAGGAUGGGUGACCUCUUGGGAAGUCCUCGUGUUCCAUUCC
This 119-nucleotide ribosomal RNA is filed under the name Aegilops tauschii subsp. strangulata. Lineage: Eukaryota; Viridiplantae; Streptophyta; Magnoliopsida; Poales; Poaceae. The record is from RNAcentral.